Molecule: unclassified non-coding RNA, 457 nt
Filed under: uncultured Basidiomycota
Lineage: Eukaryota; Fungi; Basidiomycota
Description: sequence contains ITS2
Rfam family: 5.8S ribosomal RNA (bases 1-156)
Source: RNAcentral
AACUUUUGACAACGGAUCUCUUGGCUCUCGCAUCGAUGAAGAACGCAGCGAAAUGCGAAAUGUAAUGUGAAUUGCAGAACCUCCAGUGAAUCAUCGAAUUUUUGAACGCAUCUUGCGCCCCGUGGCAUUCCGCGGGGCAUGUCUGUUUGAGUGUCGUUUGACCUCUCAACCGCUUUGGUAUUCGAUUACAAAAGUCGGCUUGGAACUUGGGUGCCUCUGGCGAAACGCAAAAGGGCCGAAGCGCAAAAGGGCUUCGGCCCUGUCGCCCACCCCAAAGUCAGUUGGGCCAACCGCGCGGAUGAGCGGACGGUUUGACCACAGUGUUGUAAGGUUCGCCUCACUGUCGGGACGUCCAUUUCCGUUAGCACGAAGGCAUUUGAAACACGAUACUAUUGAUUUUGACCUCAAAUCAGACAGGAUUACCCGCUGAACUUAAGCAUAUCAAUAAGCGGAGGCU